Molecule: long non-coding RNA, 275 nt
Filed under: Elaeis guineensis (African oil palm)
Lineage: Eukaryota; Viridiplantae; Streptophyta; Magnoliopsida; Arecales; Arecaceae
Description: long non-coding RNA (EGUI_LNC035577)
Source: RNAcentral
UUAUAUAAUAGAUUCAAUUAGCUCGAGUCUAUGUAUGAUUCUCAUGAAAACUCUUUUCCACCAAUUACACUGCUAUGGCCAUAGAUUUAAGGACUCAGCUUCUUAAAUUCUAUAGGACUGCUCUUCUCUGCUGGGAUUGAUAGAUUCUAUCUAGGUAUGCACCUUACUCCUACAGUGGAUCAACUAUCACCAAUAUCUACUAUAAGAACUCAUUGAGUCAAUAUUUAUAUGUAGUCAAACUCCAGUAGCCUCACUGCAAGUAGCUAUGGCACCAC